CACGUGACGCUCAUGACGUCACGCUAACAAAGUGUCGGAAGAAGCUCGACGUCAACAAGAUUCUCCCCCAAAAAAGACGACUUUUUUCGCUGCGUGGCUGUAACUUUUCCGCCACAGUUCAGCGGCUCACAUUCUGUGGUCACCGAAUCAGUCUGCAUCCUAAUGACAGCAGACCUUGUACAGCUGCUAGGACAAGGACAAGCUGAGCAGUUGUACAGGAGUACAUGAGGAAGUCCGCGGGCGUGCAGGUAGGAAACAUGCCAGUCAAUGUUUUGUCUCAUGUAUCGUCAGUGUGGUUGUGUAAGUGCACUCCAAGUGUGCACCGGAACCGUCACGUCGCUCCAAAGAUGAAACUCUCAAUCAAAGCCCCACUGGCCCAGCCCCUCUUAUUACAAACUAAUGAGGAGGGGUGGAAUCAGACACCAGAACCAUGAGACCAACUGACCCCGUCCAGAACUCGUCACCCCUAAACUGUGUGUGUGUGUGUGUCUUGCAAUCCUUUUAGGAUUAUGUCUCCCCCCGAGCCCCCCAGUCCCGUCCUUGUCUCUUUCAGUGUUGUCCCUCAGGCGAUCACGUUUAAACCUGCGUCCAUUCACAAACGUUCAACAAAGCGUUGCCGUGGUAACCGUGUGAACGCUGCUGGCACGGCUCAGGAAUGCCCCAGGAGGUACACGUCGAAAUAUCGAAAAGCACCAAGCUUUGCUUCACUUGAUGGACUUGUGCACGCGCAUGUCUUUUUGAGACGCCUGGACAUGUGACUUCAUCGUGGGACGUACGUCAGCCAUCAUGGAGGACACGGUGCUCUGGAGAAGGACAGCCGUCCCCUCAUGCUUCAGUCAUAA
Molecule: long non-coding RNA, 842 nt
Organism: Entelurus aequoreus (snake pipefish)
Lineage: Eukaryota; Metazoa; Chordata; Actinopteri; Syngnathiformes; Syngnathidae
Exons: 3
Source: RefSeq, a predicted model, not a curated record